GCCGGGCAUAGUGGUGUGUGCCUGUAGUCCCAGCUACUUGGGAGGCUGAAGUGGGAGGAUUGAUUGAGCCCAGGAGGUCGAGGCUGCAGUGAGCUAUGAUGGCACCACUGCACUCCAGCUUGAGCAACAGAGCAAGACCCUGUUUCAA
This 148-nucleotide signal recognition particle RNA is filed under the name Nomascus leucogenys (northern white-cheeked gibbon). RNAcentral describes it as "Metazoan signal recognition particle RNA". It matches the Rfam family "Metazoan signal recognition particle RNA". From Rfam's summary of the family: The signal recognition particle (SRP) is a universally conserved ribonucleoprotein. It is involved in the co-translational targeting of proteins to membranes. Lineage: Eukaryota; Metazoa; Chordata; Mammalia; Primates; Hylobatidae. The record is from Rfam by way of RNAcentral.